This 515-nucleotide ribosomal RNA is filed under the name uncultured bacterium. RNAcentral's name for it is "partial 16S ribosomal RNA". It matches the Rfam family "Bacterial small subunit ribosomal RNA", at positions 28 to 523 of the family's 1533-position model. The record is from RNAcentral.
GAUGAACGCUGGCGGCGUGCCUAAUACAUGCAAGUCGAGCGAAUGGAUUAAGAGCUUGCUCUUAUGAAGUUAGCGGCGGACGGGUGAGUAACACGUGGGUAACCUGCCCAUAAGACUGGGAUAACUCCGGGAAACCGGGGCUAAUACCGGAUAACAUUUUGAACCGCAUGGUUCGAAAUUGAAAGGCGGCUUCGGCUGUCACUUAUGGAUGGACCCGCGUCGCAUUAGCUAGUUGGUGAGGUAACGGCUCACCAAGGCAACGAUGCGUAGCCGACCUGAGAGGGUGGUCGGCCACACUGGGACUGGGACACGGCCCAGACUCCGACGGGAGGCAGCAGUAGGGAAUCUUCCGCAAUGGACGAAAGUCUGACGGAGCAACGCCGCGUGAGUGAUGAAGGCUUUCGGGUCGUAAAACUCUGUUGUUAGGGAAGAACAAGUGCUAGUUGAAUAAGCUGACACCUUGACGGUACCUAACCAGAAAGCCACGGCUAACUACGUGCCAGCCGCCGCGGUAA